RNAcentral lists this ribosomal RNA (450 nucleotides) under uncultured bacterium. Its description in RNAcentral is "partial 16S ribosomal RNA". It matches the Rfam family "Bacterial small subunit ribosomal RNA", at positions 338 to 795 of the family's 1533-position model. The record is from RNAcentral.
CCUACGGGUGGCUGCAGUGGGGAAUUUUGGACAAUGGGCGAAAGCCUGAUCCAGCAAUGCCGCGUGAGUGAAGAAGGCCUUCGGGUUGUAAAGCUCUUUUGUUUGGGAAGAAAUCCCUAAGGAUAAUACCCUUGGGGGAUGACGGUACCAAAAGAAUAAGCACCGGCUAACUACGUGCCAGCAGCCGCGGUAUUACGUAGGGUGCAAGCGUUAAUCGGAAUUACUGGGGGCGAAGCUGUCGGACGGGGGUGAAAUCCCCGAGCUCAACUUGGGAACUGCACGUGUGACUGCAAGACUAGAGUGUGUCAGAGGGAGGUAGAAUUCCACGUGUAGCAGUGAAAUGCGUAGAUAUGUGGAGGAAUACCAGUGGCGAAGGCGGCCUCCUGGGAUAACACUGACGCUCAUGUACGAAAGCGUGGGGAGCAAACAGGAUUAGAUACCCCUGUAGUC